GCAUACUUAUCUCAGUGGUUAGAGUGUCUGCGUAGUGUCUGGAGGUUGCAGGUUCGAAUCCUGCAGUGUGCA
RNAcentral lists this transfer RNA (72 nucleotides) under Cronartium ribicola 11-2. Its description in RNAcentral is "tRNA-Und (NNN) (tRNA-Und-NNN-40-1)". It matches the Rfam family "tRNA". From Rfam's summary of the family: Transfer RNA (tRNA) molecules are approximately 80 nucleotides in length. Their secondary structure includes four short double-helical elements and three loops (D, anti-codon, and T loops). Further hydrogen bonds mediate the characteristic L-shaped molecular structure. tRNAs have two regions of fundamental functional importance: the anti-codon, which is responsible for specific mRNA codon recognition, and the 3' end, to which the tRNAs corresponding amino acid is attached (by aminoacyl-tRNA synthetases). tRNAs cope with the degeneracy of the genetic code in two manners: having more than one tRNA (with a specific anti-codon) for a particular amino acid; and 'wobble' base-pairing, i.e. permitting non-standard base-pairing at the 3rd anti-codon position. Lineage: Eukaryota; Fungi; Basidiomycota; Pucciniomycetes; Pucciniales; Coleosporiaceae. The record is from RNAcentral.